RNAcentral lists this ribosomal RNA (2976 nucleotides) under Phycisphaerae bacterium. Its description in RNAcentral is "bacterial LSU rRNA". It matches the Rfam family "Bacterial large subunit ribosomal RNA". The record is from RNAcentral. Lineage: Bacteria; Pseudomonadati; Planctomycetota; Phycisphaerae.
UCAAGUUACUAAGGGUGUAUGGGGGAUGUCUAGGCGUCGAGAGGCGAUGAAGGACGUGGCAGGCUGCGAUAAGCCCGGGGCAGGUGCCUAGCAACCGUUAAUCCCGGGAUUUCCGAAUGGGGCAACCCAGCAAGGCGGGGCAACCCGACCUUGUUAUCACUGGCUGAAUGUAUAGGUCAGUGAAGUUAACGCAGGGAACUGAAACAUCUUAGUACCUGCAGGAAAGGAAAUCAACAGAGACUCCGUAAGUAGCGGCGAGCGAAAGCGGAAUAGCCCAAACCAGAGAGCUUGCUCUCUGGGGUUGAGGGCGCCGGUUAGCAGUUAUAAAAGUCUUCGCUAGCAGAAUGGUCUGGAAAGUCCAACCAUAGAAGGUGAAAGUCCUGUAAGCGAAAGUGAAGGCACUGCGUUAUGCCGGCGUACCAGAGUAGCACGGGACUCGUGAAACCCCGUGUGAAGCUGGGGGGACCACCCUCCAAGGCUAAGUACUACUCGACGACCGAUAGUGGACAGUAGGGCGACUGAACGAUGAAAAGCACCCCUAUAAGGGGAGUUAAAAGUACCUGAAACCAUACACCUACAAAGCUGUGGAAGCCCUAUGGUACCGAUUCGUCGGUAUAAUGGGUGACCGCGUGCCUUUCGCAUAAUGAGCCAGCGAGUUGUCGUAUGUGGCAAGGUUAAGCACUUUAAGUGCGGAGCCGUAGGGAAACCGAGUCUUAAUAGGGCGAUUAGUCGCAUGUGGCAGACGCGAAACCAAGCGAUCAUCCCAUGGCCAGGUUGAAGGGGAUGUAAAAAUCCCUGGAGGACCAAACGCACCAACGUUGAAAAGUUGGGCGAUGAGCUGUGGGAAGGAGUAAAAGUCUAAUCAAGCUUGGAGAUAUCUCGUUCUCUUCGAAAUAGCUUUAGGGCUAGCCUCGAGUUACUACUCUGCGGGGGUAGAGCUACUGGAUGGGGAUAGGGGGCCACCAGCCUACCUACCCCAACCAAACUCCGAAUACCGCAGAGAUUAUCUCGGGAGUCAGACUGUGGGGGAUAACCUCCAUGGUCAAGAGGGAAACAACCCAGACCGCCGGUUAAGGUCCCGAAGUUCUUGCUAAGUUCUUAAGGAGGUCGAGUUGCAGUGACAGCCAGGAUGUUGGCUUAGAAGCAGCCACCAUUUAAAAAGUGCGUAAUAGCUUACUGGUCGAGCAACUUGGCGCCGAAAAUGACCGGGAAUCAAGCAGAACACCGAAGCCGCGGAUUUAACUGAACUUCGGUUCAGUUAAGUGGUAGAAGAGCGUUGUUGUCAGCGUCGAAGCCGUACGGUAACGAGCGGUGGAGCGGCAACAAGUGAUAAUGCUGGCAUGAGUAACGAUAAAACAGGUGAGAAUCCUGUUCGCCGAAAACCUAAGGUUUCCUGGGGAAGGUAAAUCCGCCCAGGGUUAGCCGGCCCUUAGUCGAGGCCGAAAGGCGUAGACGAUGGACAGCAGGUUAAUAUUCCUGCGCCGCGUGCCAAAGGUUUGUACUGAAGGGGAUGACGCAGCAACAAAGGCUGGAAGCUGACUAGUCGUGGCUAUUGUGCCUGAGGCGCCGUUAGUAGGAAAAUCCGCUGACGCAAAGGCGCCGAAGGACCGCGAGGGCCGAUUUGAUGCCCGAGCAGCCGGCGUUGUUGCCGAGAAAAGUCCUCGUCAGGACGAUGGUGCGUGUCCGUACUAAAACCGACACAGGUAGGUGGGGUGAGAAUCCCAAGGCGCUCGAGAUAACCGUCCUUAAGGAACUCGGCAAAUUGACCCCGUACGUUCGCAAUAAGGGGUCCCUCCAGACUCAGGUUCGCCUGGGUGCUGAGGGCGCAGUGACAUGGCUCUGGCGACUGUUUAUCAAAAACACAGUUCUCUGCUAACACGAAAAGUGGAUGUAUAGAGAAUGACGCCUGCUCGAUGCCGGAAGGUUAAGUGGCGCGGUUAUCCCUUCGGGGAGACGCUGCAAAAUGAAGCCCCGGUAAACGGCGGCCGUAACUAUGACGGUCCUAAGGUAGCGAAGUUCCUUGUCGGGUAAGUUCCGACGUGCAUGAACGGCGUAACGACUGGAGCACUGUCUCAAGGACGGACUCGGUGAAAUUGUAAUUGUGGUGAAGAUACCACAUACCCGCGGCAAGACGGAAAGACCCCGUGAACCUUUACUGUAACCUGGUAUUGAUGCCUGGCAUAUCAUGCGCAGGAUAGGUGGGAGGCUUUGAAGUGCUGGUUUCGGCCGGCAUGGAGCCAACCUUGAAAUACCACCCUUGAUAUGUCAGACACCUAACGGUGUGCCGUGAUCCGGUCACCGGACAGUGCUAGGCGGGCAGUUUGACUGGGGCGGUCUCCUCCCAAAAAGUAACGGAGGAGUUCAAAGGUACACUCAGCGUGGUUGGCAAUCACGCAUAGAGAGCAAAGUUAGAAGUGUGCUUGACUGCGAGACUUAUAGGUCGAGCAGAUGCGAAAGCAGGACUUAGUGAUCCGGCGAUCCCGUGUGGAAGGGUCGUCGCUCAACAGAUAAAAGGUACUCCGGGGAUAACAGGCUUAUCUCCCCCGAGCGUUCAUAGCGGCGGGGAGGUUUGGCACCUCGAUGUCGGCUCAUCACAUCCUGGGGCUGUAGGCGGUCCCAAGGGUUCGGCUGUUCGCCGAUUAAAGUGGUACGCGAGCUGGGUUCAGACCGACGCGAGUCAGGUCGGUCCCUAUCUGCCGUGGGCGCAGGAAUUUUGAGAGGAUGUUUCCCUAGUACGAGAGGAUUGGGAAGCACCGACCGCUGGUGUCCCGGUUGUUCCGCUAGGAGCAGCGCCGGGUAGCUAUGUCGGGAAAGGAUAACCGCUGAAGGCAUCUAAGCGGGAAGCCAACCUCAAGAUUAGAAUUCCAUUCCCUUCGGGGAUGAAGGACCCUGGAAGACUACCAGGUUGAUAGGCUGGGUGUGUAAGCACAGAAAUGUGUUAAGCUAACCAGUACUAACGUCCAAACGCUUGACCAU